RNAcentral lists this long non-coding RNA (307 nucleotides) under Brassica rapa (field mustard). Its description in RNAcentral is "long non-coding RNA (BRAP_LNC006525)". Lineage: Eukaryota; Viridiplantae; Streptophyta; Magnoliopsida; Brassicales; Brassicaceae. The record is from RNAcentral.
CAGGUUCCUAAUCAUAUAUUAUAUAAAAAUAACAAUUCAGUUUUUAGGUCCUUAUCAUUUCUUUUAAUUGGCCUAGUAGUUUUUUUUUUUUUUGCUAAAAAUUGACUUUAGUAGUGUUCAGAAAAGUAUAAUACAACAGUGAGGAAUAACUUUCAUUUUUUGUUGGUCCAAUUUCAUUUUCAUGAAAAUCUCAAAGAGGAAAUUAGAAGAUGAGAUUGGCAAAGCUCGUCUCUCACCAUUUAUACAUCUUGUAUUUCUAAAAGAAAUCAAACCUUAUAUAUGAGCUUGCAUCCUCAAAUCAUUUUCC